CCCUUAGAUGUUCUGGGCUGCACGCGCGCUACACUGGUGCGUUCAGCGAGUUUAGCACCUUAACAGAUAUGUUUGGGUAAUCUUCUGAAAACGCACCGUGAUGGGGAUCGAUUAUUGUAAUUAUUAAUCGUCAACGAGGAAUUCCUAGUAAGUGUGAAUCAUCAGUUCACGCUGAUUACGUCCCUGCCCUUUGUACACACCGCCCGUCGCUGCUACCGAUUGAGUGGUCCGGUGAAUUAUUCGGACCGGUGGACUGUGGGGAAACCCGCGGCCUGCUGGGAAGUCUUGUGAACCUUAUCACUUAGAGGAAGCAGAAGUCGUAACA
RNAcentral lists this ribosomal RNA (325 nucleotides) under uncultured eukaryote. RNAcentral describes it as "partial 18S ribosomal RNA". It matches the Rfam family "Eukaryotic small subunit ribosomal RNA", at positions 1470 to 1796 of the family's 1831-position model. The record is from RNAcentral.